Molecule: ribosomal RNA, 274 nt
Filed under: uncultured bacterium
Lineage: Bacteria
Description: partial 16S ribosomal RNA
Rfam family: Bacterial small subunit ribosomal RNA
Source: RNAcentral
AUACGGAGGGUGCAAGCGUUGUCCGGAUUUAUUGGGUUUAAAGGGUGCGUAGGUGGUUUUUUAAGUCAGUGGUGAAAGCCUACAGCUUAACUGUAGAGGUGCCAUUGAAACUGGGGAACUUGAGUAUGGACGAGGUAGGCGGAAUUUGUGGUGUAGCGGUGAAAUGCAUAGAUACCACAAAGAACACCGAUAGCGAAGGCAGCUUACUAGGCCAUAACUGACACUGAGGCACGAAAGUGUGGGGAGCGUACAGGAUUAGAAACCCCAGUAGUCC